AGUGAACGCUGGCGGUAGGCCUAACACAUGCAAGUCGAACGGCAGCUCAGUAAGAGCUUGCUCUUACGGGUGGCGAGUGGCGGACGGGUGAGGAAUACAUCGGAAUCUACUUUUUCGUGGGGGAUAACGUAGGGAAACUGACGCUAAUACCGCAUACGACCUACGGGUGAAAGCAGGGGAUCAUCGGACCUUGCGCGAAUGAAUGAGCCGAUGUCGGAUUAGCUAGUUGGCGGGGUAAAGGCCCACCAAGGCGACGAUCCGUAGCUGGUCUGAGAGGAUGAUCAGCCACACUGGAACUGAAACACGGUCCAGACUCCUACGGGAGGCAGCAGUGGGGAAUAUUGGACAAUGGGCGCAAGCCUGAUCCAGCAAUACCGCGUGGGUGAAGAAGGCCUUCGGGUUGUAAAGCCCUUUUGUUGGGAAAGAAAAGCAGCAGGUUAAUACCCCGCUGUUCUGACGGUACCCAAAGAAUAAGCACCGGCUAACUUCGUG
RNAcentral lists this ribosomal RNA (492 nucleotides) under uncultured bacterium. Its description in RNAcentral is "partial 16S ribosomal RNA". It matches the Rfam family "Bacterial small subunit ribosomal RNA", at positions 29 to 507 of the family's 1533-position model. The record is from RNAcentral.